GAUCAUUACCGAGUAAGGGGUCCUCUGGGCCCCAACUCCCCACCCUUUGUGUACGUACUCCGUUGCUUCGGCGGGCCCGCGGCGUGAAAACCCGCCGUCGGCCCAGGCUGACGAGCGCCCGCCAGAGGACCUUCAAAACCUAUUUAUCAGUGUCGUCUGAGUUCAGCUUCGAAUGUAGUAAAACUUUCAACAACGGAUCUCUUGGUUCUGGCAUCGAUGAAGAACGCAGCGAAAUGCGAUAAGUAAUGUGAAUUGCAGAAUUCAGUGAAUCAUCGAAUCUUUGAACGCACAUUGCGCCCCUUGGUAUUCCGAGGGGCACGCCUGUUCGAGCGUCAUUACACCCCUCAAGCUCGGCUUGGUAUUGGGCCCUCGUCCCCAUGGACGUGCCCGAAACUCCUCGGCGGCGGCGCCUUGCUUCAAGCGUAGUGACAUCACAAUCUCGCUUUGGAAGUGGAGGCAUCGCCCGCCGGACGAACCCAAAUCUUUCCAAGUUUGACCUCGGAUCAGGCGGGGAUACCCGCUGAACUUAAGCAUAUCAAUAAGCGGAGGAAAAGAAACCAACAGGGAUUGCCCUAGUAACGGCGAGUGAAGCGGCAACAGCUCAAAUUUGAAAUCUGGCGCCUUCGGUGCCCGAGUUGUAAUUUGCAGAGGAUGCUUCGGCGUCGGCUCCGGUCUAAGUCCCUUGGAACAGGGCGUCACAGAGGGUGAGAAUCCCGUACGUGGCCGGCCGCCUCAGCCAUGUGAAGCUCCUUCGACGAGUCGAGUUGUUUGGGAAUGCAGCUCUAAACGGGAGGUAAAUUUCUUCUAAAGCUAAAUACCGGCCAGAGACCGAUAGCGCACAAGUAGAGUGAUCGAAAGAUGAAAAGCACUUUGAAAAGAGAGUUAAAAAGUACGUGAAAUUGUUGAAAGGGAAGCGCUUGCAGCCAGACUUGACCGCGGAUGCUCAACCGGCCCUUCGGCCGGUGCACUCUUCCGCGGUCAGGCCAGCGUCGGUUUGGGCGGCCGGAUAAAGGCCCCGGGAAUGUAGCUCCUCUCGGGGAGUGUUAUAGCCCGGGGCGUAAUACGGCCAGCCCGGACCGAGGACCGCGCU
This 1090-nucleotide ribosomal RNA is filed under the name fungal sp. ARIZ AZ1013. Its description in RNAcentral is "eukaryotic LSU rRNA". The stretch from base 494 to 1090 matches the Rfam family "Eukaryotic large subunit ribosomal RNA", at positions 1 to 601 of the family's 3401-position model. The record is from RNAcentral. Lineage: Eukaryota; Fungi. RNAcentral also lists the same sequence under 1 other name.